AGCAGUAGCCACGGGAAUACAGAGGGUGCGAGCGUUAAUCGGAUUUACUGGGCGUAAAGCGUGCGUAGGCGGCUUCUUAAGUCGGAUGUGAAAUCCCUGAGCUUAACUUAGGAAUUGCAUUCGAUACUGGGAAGCUAGAGUAUGGGAGAGGAUGGUAGAAUUCCAGGUGUAGCGGUGAAAUGCGUAGAGAUCUGGAGGAAUACCGAUGGCGAAGGCAGCCAUCUGGCCUAAUACUGACGCUGAGGUACGAAAGCAUGGGGAGCAAACAGGAUUAGAUACCCCGGUAGUCCCUGUCUCUUAUAA
RNAcentral lists this ribosomal RNA (303 nucleotides) under uncultured bacterium. RNAcentral's name for it is "partial 16S ribosomal RNA". It matches the Rfam family "Bacterial small subunit ribosomal RNA", at positions 507 to 809 of the family's 1533-position model. The record is from RNAcentral.